This 66-nucleotide transfer RNA is filed under the name Nereis zonata. RNAcentral's name for it is "tRNA-Gly". The record is from RNAcentral. Lineage: Eukaryota; Metazoa; Annelida; Polychaeta; Phyllodocida; Nereididae.
ACAACGCUAGUAUAAGUAGUACCGCUGCCUUCCAAGCAGAAAGUUUGUAAGAAUGCAAGCGUAGUA